This 355-nucleotide unclassified non-coding RNA is filed under the name soil metagenome. Its description in RNAcentral is "partial contains 5.8S ribosomal RNA, internal transcribed spacer 2, and large subunit ribosomal RNA". The stretch from base 1 to 120 matches the Rfam family "5.8S ribosomal RNA", at positions 35 to 154 of the family's 154-position model. The record is from RNAcentral.
GAUGAAGAACGUAGCGAAAUGCGAUAAGUAGUGUGAAUUGCAGAAUUCAGUGAAUCAUCGAAUCUUUGAACGCACAUUGCGCCUUCUAGUAUUCUGGGAGGCAUGCCUGUUUGAGCGUCAUUAAACCUCUCUCAAGUAUGAUUACUUGGAUGUGAAGGAAGAGUACCUUAAACUUAAGGAGUGUUCUCCUUUGAAAUUGAUUAGCAGAUGGUAAUGUUAUUAAAUCCCUGAUGUUGUAAGAAAUAACAGUGGUUUUGUAGACUAUUAUCUAGCUUUAAAUUAUAAUUUUUAUUAUGGUUGACCUCAAAUCAGGUAAGGAUACCCGCUGAACUUAAGCAUAACAAUAAGCGGAGGA